RNA transcript from Oreochromis aureus, 2628 nucleotides. RefSeq lists it as uncharacterized. The record is from RefSeq and is a predicted model, not a curated record. Lineage: Eukaryota; Metazoa; Chordata; Actinopteri; Cichliformes; Cichlidae. The transcript has 6 exons.
UUUGGAAUUCAGGCCACAGAUGAAACUUGUUAUUAUGAUUUCAAAACCACGUCUCCACAAACCAAAGGCUCCUCCUGUUUAGGAAUCUGUGUACAAUUACAGAGCUCUUCCCCUCUGACUGCAUCAACAGUCUGAAGAAGGUUUUUCUCUUCUCAGUAACAGAGUCACCGUUGGAUCAGUCGGGUCCUGUUCUGCUACUUUCUGCUUUGGGACUGAUUCAAGAGAAAAGAACAUUUUUAUUUUAUUGUUCCACCGUGAUGAGCAGCAGACACUGAGGAUCCUCAUGAAGUCGUGAUGCAGACAUUAACCAGGACCAGCUGGAAGACUGCCCACAAGGAAACCUACAGCCAAAGAACCAAAAAAACGUAACAAACCUUUUGCUAACAGAGUCACCGUUGGAUCAGUCGGGUCCUGUUCUGCUACUUUCUGCUUUGGGACUGAUUCAAGAGAAAAUAACAUUUUUAUUUUAUUGUUCCACCGUGAUGAGCAGCAGCCACUGAGGAUCCUCAUGAAGUCUUGAUGCAGACCAGAAAAACAUCACAGCUGAGUCUGGACAGAACGUCACUCUGACAUGUCGAGCUCCAAACAACAACAUCAACAUUGUAGAGUGGAGCAGAGCUGACCUGGGAGAUAAACAUGUGCUUUUGUACCGGGAUGGGCGAUUUGUUCCAGAAGGCCAGCAUCAAUCUUUUAAGAACCGGGUGGAUCUGCAGGACAGACAGAUGAAGGAUGGAGACGUGUCUUUGAUUCUGAAGAAUGUGACAACUGCUGAUAGUGGAACAUAUGAGUGUCAUGUCUUAAUGGGAGAAAUACACUUAUUGAAGCUCAUCAUCAUCAUCUACCUUCAUGUUGAUCCUCCAGGUCAGACAGGAGGACAAGAGAAGGAUGGAGGCAACAAAGAUGGAGGAAAGGAAGACAGAAGGAAGGAGGAUGGAUCUGUUGGACUGAAAGUUGGUCUGACAGUUUCUGCGGUGCUUCUUCUUAUUGUUGCUGGUGUUGUUGGUUUCUUUAAGUGCAGAAAAAAGAAACUGAAUCCUGCUGAUCCACAUGUAGCAGAGCAUCUUCAGCCUGAAUAGCAGAAAACCAUCACAGCUGAGUCUGGACAGGACGUCACUCUGACAUGUCGAGCUCCAAACAACAAGAUCAAAUCUGUAGAGUGGAGCAGAGAUGACUGGACAUCAGGCUAUGUCUACUUGUACCAGGAUGGUCACUUUGUUUGUUGUUUGAGCUGUAAAUAAUGAGUCAGAGAAAAUGAGCCAACAGCUUCAUCAGCCUGAGGUUGAUUCAACAUACACUCACUUAGUGGACUUUUGCGUAAUUACAUAACUGCUGUUUUAAUCAUGCUUGUUUUUGCUGUUUUUUGGUGAUUGUAGACAUGGUUUAUGUGGACAUUUAGCUUAGAGUCUAAGGUUUCUGUGGAGACCACACAUGGUGGUAUUUGCAUGAACAGAGUCGUGGAUAGUUACAUACCUCCUGAGUCCCGUCACUGGAACUGUAAAUCUGAGUUUCUAUGAAGUGCUGCAGAUUUAUUUUUUAACUGAAUGAUGCACUCAGAGUUUGUUUGUUUGUUCAUUAAUAACAUAAUUGUCACAAAUGUUGAUUGUUUUCCUUUAUUCAGGUAUUUUUAACAUUAUUAUUUGUGUUUAAAAAGUGUUGCUGCUUGUUUUGUAUGUUUGGUCUUGUAUGUGUGUUUGUGUUUCCUGCUGCUCACACACAGGAUUAGAAAAGCCUGAAAACUCAGUGAUCACAGAGUCUGUGAGCUCCAAAUGUUUGCAUGUAGCACAGAGAACAAAGGUCAGUGUGUGAGUGUCUCCGUGUUUGAAAUAAUAAACUACUGGAUUAGUCUGAUCCUGUUAUCAUCCUCUGUUAUUGCAUCAAUGAGUCUCAGUCACUCAUUGUAAAUGACCUCAUUAAUAUGUUCCUUCUUAAACUGGUUCAUACGUGCAUAUUAUUCUGUUGUAGCUUGGACACAGUAAAUGUUUUUAUUUGGAAAGGUGUAGAACGACCAGGCGUCAAACAUCAGUCGAUGUAAACUAUACAGCAGCACGAGCUCCAACGUACAGAGAGGUUUGCUCAAUGGUUAAGAAAUGUGAAAAGCGGCUGUUAAGGUGGAAUUCUAAGUUGCAAAUAGUUCCCUGGCACCUGGUUGAUGAGGGAACAAGGUUGGUAUCAAAGUUUGUUGUGUAAAUGUGGACUUUGUUAUUUCACGGAGCAUAAAGCUGCUGACGGCUACUGAGUGUAACAGUUACGUUUUCACCCACUAGAGGGCGCUCACACCUCGGUAUAUUUGUCAUGUUUACUCAGUGAUGCAAAGGUUUACAAGAUUCACUGUUAUAUGCUAUUUAAGGUCAAAGACAAUCGUAAUAAGAUGUAUUUUAUCUCAGGGUAUAGAAAAGGUAAGAGGCUAAAUGUUAGAAGGGUUGAAUAAAUAUACACGGCAAAAGCGCUCGAUGUAGAGAUUCAAGGGCCUAAAAGGUGUCAUCAUUUAAAGUAAUUCAUUUAUGAUUAAUAAAUAAGGAAAAAGGUGAAAGGUUUGAGUUACCAAUGGUAAUUUUAUUCUGUACAUUUUGUAGCUUUUACUGUGUGAUCACAUUCAAAGCUGUUCAAUAAAAGGAUUGUGAACCAUCA